ACGGGGUGCAGCAGGCGCGAAACCUCUGCAAUGUGCGAAAGCACGACAAGGUUAAUCCGAGUGUCUCCCGCUAAGGGAGUCUUUUGUCAGUUCUAGAACCACUGGUGAAUAAGGGGUGGGCAAGUUCUGGUGUCAGCCGCCGCGGUAAAACCAGCACCUCGAGUGGUCAGGGGGUUUAUUGGGCCUAAAGCAUCCGUAGCCGGUUGCAUAAGUUUUCGGUUAAAUCUAUGCGCUUAACGUAUAGGCCGCCGAAAAUACUGUGCAGCUAGGGAGUGGGAGAGGUACACGGUACUCGAUAGGAAGGGGUAAAAUCCUUUGAUCUAUUGAUGACCACCUGUGGCGAAGGCGGUGUACCAGAACACGUUCGACGGUGAGGGAUGAAAGCUGGGGGAGCAAACCGGAUUAGAUACCCGGGUAGUCCCAGCUGUAAACGAUGCAGACUCGGUGAUGCAUUGGCUUGUGGCCAAUGCAGUGCCGCAGGGAAGCCGUUAAGUCUGCCGCCUGGGAAGUACGUACGCAAGUAUGAAACUUAAAGGAAUUGGCGGGGGAGCAC
Molecule: ribosomal RNA, 553 nt
Filed under: uncultured Nitrososphaerota archaeon
Lineage: Archaea; Thermoproteati; Nitrososphaerota
Description: bacterial SSU rRNA
Rfam family: Archaeal small subunit ribosomal RNA
Source: RNAcentral